RNAcentral lists this long non-coding RNA (628 nucleotides) under Piliocolobus tephrosceles (Ugandan red Colobus). RNAcentral describes it as "lncRNA (ENSPTEG00000003835.1)". Lineage: Eukaryota; Metazoa; Chordata; Mammalia; Primates; Cercopithecidae. The record is from RNAcentral.
UCGAAAUAUAGAAAUAUGUACAAUGUACACUCCUGCACUUAUUUAUAAUUAAUUUUUUUUCUUCUAAAAAAAUUAAGCCAGGCAAACAAUUGUCUUUUUUUUUUUACUCAUGUUUUAUACUUUUGUUUCAAUUUGCUUCAUUUUGUUCUAUUUUAUCUUUUUUUUUUAUUUACCAUUAAAAUUAGAUAGUUUGUAUAUAUAGAAUUAUAAUUUUUAUUUUUACUUUAUUUUAUUUUUUUUUCAUUUGUUAUUCUUAAUACAUUUAAACUGUGCUCAUACAUUUUUAUUUGUUUUAAAAAAAUAUGCUUGAAAAGUAAUAUAUAAAUAAAGGAUUACAACAAAAAUAUUAAUUAUUUUCAAAAUAGACUGAUGAACGAGAUGGGCUUAAAUGGCGAUGUGGACAUUACAAAUUUGAUAAACGAAAGAGAUAGUUGGAUGAAGAAGUAUGAGCUAAUGGAAUCAGAAUAUUUAAGCCUAAAGGACAAAUUAAAAAAUGUGACGGAAAACAAUAGUAAUAAGAACAAAGUAGCAGAGGAUUAUGAGACUAUAGUAAAAGAUAUGUUCUUGAGAUAUAAAUAUAUGGUAUGAAAAAAUGUACACUAAUAUGGUUAUAUAUAUAUAUAUAUAU